GGCCUCGUAGCUCAGGUGGUUAGAGCAUUGACUGUGCUAUAGUGCCACCCUGACUGUCCUGGGUUCGAAUCCCACGGAGGCCA
RNAcentral lists this transfer RNA (83 nucleotides) under Schistocephalus solidus. It matches the Rfam family "tRNA". Rfam says of the family: Transfer RNA (tRNA) molecules are approximately 80 nucleotides in length. Their secondary structure includes four short double-helical elements and three loops (D, anti-codon, and T loops). Further hydrogen bonds mediate the characteristic L-shaped molecular structure. tRNAs have two regions of fundamental functional importance: the anti-codon, which is responsible for specific mRNA codon recognition, and the 3' end, to which the tRNAs corresponding amino acid is attached (by aminoacyl-tRNA synthetases). tRNAs cope with the degeneracy of the genetic code in two manners: having more than one tRNA (with a specific anti-codon) for a particular amino acid; and 'wobble' base-pairing, i.e. permitting non-standard base-pairing at the 3rd anti-codon position. Lineage: Eukaryota; Metazoa; Platyhelminthes; Cestoda; Diphyllobothriidea; Diphyllobothriidae. The record is from Rfam by way of RNAcentral.